CCUACGGGAGGCAGCAGUGAGGAAUAUUGGUCAAUGGGCGCGAGCCUGAACCAGCCAAGUAGCGUGAAGGAUGACUGCCCUACGGGUUGUAAACUUCUUUUAUAAAGGAAUAAAGUGAGGCACGUGUGCCUUUUUGUAAGUACUUUAUGAAUAAGGAUCGGCUAACUCCGUGCCAGCAGCCGCGGUAAUACGGAGGAUCCGAGCGUUAUCCGGAUUUAUUGGGUUUAAAGGGAGCGUAGAUGGGUUGUUAAGUCAGUUGUGAAAGUUUGGGGCUCAACCGUAAAAUUACAAUUGAUACUGGUAGUCUUGAGUAUAGAUGAGGUAGGCGGAAUGCGUGGUGUAGCGGUGAAAUGCUUAGAUAUCACGAAGAACGCCGAUUGCGAAGGCAGCUUACUAAACUGCCACUGACAUUGAUGCUCGAAAGUGUGGGUAUCAAACAGGAUUAGAUACCCGAGUAGUC
This 460-nucleotide ribosomal RNA is filed under the name uncultured bacterium. Its description in RNAcentral is "partial 16S ribosomal RNA". It matches the Rfam family "Bacterial small subunit ribosomal RNA", at positions 338 to 795 of the family's 1533-position model. The record is from RNAcentral.